CCUACGGGAUGCAGCAGUGAGGAAUAUUGGUCAAUGGCCGAGAGGCUGAACCAGCCAAGUCGCGUGAGGGAAGAAUGUCCUCUGGAUUGUAAACCUCUUUUGUCAGGGAGCAAAGUCACCCACGUGUGGGUGUUGGGGAGUACCUGAAGAAAAAGCAUCGGCUAACUCCGUGCCCGCAGCCGCGGUAAUACGGAGGAUGCGAGCGUUAUCCGUAUUUAUGGGGUUUCAAGGGUGCGUAGGCGGGUUAUCAAGUCAGCGGUAAAAUCUUGGAGCUCAACUCCAUCCAGCCGUUGACACUGAUGAUCUAGAGUGGGGGAGAAGUAUGCGGAAUGCGUGGUGUAGCGGUGAAAUGCAUAGAUAUCACGCAGAACUCCGAUGGCGAAGGCAGCAUACCGGAGCCCGACUGACGCUGAAGCACGAAAGCGUGGGUAUCGAACAGGAUUAGAUACCCUUGUAGUC
RNAcentral lists this ribosomal RNA (459 nucleotides) under uncultured bacterium. RNAcentral's name for it is "partial 16S ribosomal RNA". It matches the Rfam family "Bacterial small subunit ribosomal RNA", at positions 338 to 795 of the family's 1533-position model. The record is from RNAcentral.